This 158-nucleotide ribosomal RNA is filed under the name Ascomycota sp. Js_6553/2. RNAcentral describes it as "5.8S ribosomal RNA". It matches the Rfam family "5.8S ribosomal RNA". Rfam says of the family: 5.8S ribosomal RNA (5.8S rRNA) is a component of the large subunit of the eukaryotic ribosome. It is transcribed by RNA polymerase I as part of the 45S precursor that also contains 18S and 28S rRNA. Lineage: Eukaryota; Fungi; Ascomycota. The record is from RNAcentral.
ACUUUUAACAAUGGAUCUCUUGGUUCUGGCAUCGAUGAAGAACGCAGCGAAAUGCGAUAAGUAGUGUGAAUUGCAGACUUUAGUGAAUCAUCGAAUCUUUGAACGCACAUUGCGCCCCUUGGUAUUCCAUUGGGCAUGCCUGUUCGAGCGUCAUUUAC